ACUGGUCACACAGAUUUAAAAAAAUAAUCUUCAGUAUUUGGUCUCAACCUGGCCAUACUCAUGUGUUUCUAUAAAGCAUGCUGAACACUACAGUCUAAAUGGUUCCCCCUCCUAGUGUGGUGUCAAGUUAACAACCUGAGAGUUUUUUAAAGUGUGUUUCAGUGUUUAAACGUAUUUAACUCAUGUUAAGGUUAACGUGCAUUGUUCAGACUGACAAAAGUGCUGAAAUUACACAAAAGUGUUUGUAAUAAUUAGAUGACGGUUUUGAUUGGCAAAGGGGGAUGGGAAUGGUUGGGAGUUUCAGUGCUUCUGAAAGGGGCUGAUUAAUAGCACUGACAAGCCAGGCACAAUGCAUGCUUGUGUGGUUCAAGCGAACCCCAUACAGCUCUGCCAGGGCUUGAGUCCUAGUUUCCAUCUCGCCUGCUCUUCAGCUGCGUGAUCUCUCAUGAGCAGAAACUGCCAGUCAUGUUACUGUGAGGCAAUCCCCGCUGGACAAAAGCUGUGGUCUUUACCUGCUGAGAAGAGACUGGUUACACAACAAAGCACCUUGCCUUGAGCAACACCUAACAAGAAUCCAAGCUGAAAUGUCAAGUGCCAAAUUUUCAGCCACUCCCCAAACCGGCCUCCUUAUUUGCAAAGUACUGAUUGCGUCUGUGAAAUGAGGCACCCCUCUGGUUUGUCCAUACAGGAUCUGCAUUUGCAGUGCCUCAGUUUUACACUAACAUGACUCACCGGGGUAAUGAAGUGAAAAAUCAGGUUCACGGCCUUCAUGUGUUCUUCAGCUCCUUCUCGCUCCAAGUGUUACAACUCACCAGUAGAUUGAUAAUGGAGCAACAUGCCACAAAGGAGGCUGUGUGGGGCCACUGAGAACUAUGCAUUUUUCCAGAGGAUCACAAUUAAACGAACACCUGUGCUAAUC
Mauremys reevesii (Reeves's turtle) is the source of this 919-nucleotide long non-coding RNA. RefSeq lists it as uncharacterized. The record is from RefSeq and is a predicted model, not a curated record. NCBI's taxonomy places the organism in Eukaryota, Metazoa, Chordata, Testudines, Geoemydidae. The transcript is spliced from 5 exons.